Long non-coding RNA from Peromyscus californicus insignis, 4632 nucleotides. RefSeq lists it as uncharacterized. The transcript has 3 exons. The record is from RefSeq and is a predicted model, not a curated record. NCBI's taxonomy places the organism in Eukaryota, Metazoa, Chordata, Mammalia, Rodentia, Cricetidae.
GGGCGCCGCAACCGGCAGCCCCGCGGGCCAAUGGCGCCCGUACGCUCCUGCUAACAAAGAAACCCGUCGGCCAAUGGAUGGCGGGGGCGGGACCGGGAGCCGCGGGCGCAAGGGUGUGGCUCUGUGGUAGAAACCAGCCUGUGAGAGGCCCUGCAGAGGAAGAAAAGCAAGAAAAGUCAGUACAACCACAGAGAGGAAGCUCAGGCCAGACACCAAAGGGCACCAUUAAUACAUGGACGAGAGCUUCAAGGGAGAGGAAUGUCUGGGACUCCAUGCCAGCCACCAUGGCCACUUUGGGGAUUUGGGAUGAUGGGUGUGUUCUAUCUCCAUCGCAUGCCUGACCAAAAGCAACUUCCUAGAAGGAAGAGUUCAUCGGUGCUUACGGUUCCAGAAAGACAAGGUCUAUCGUGGCGGAAACACGGCAGCAAGUGACAGGCACAGUGGCGGGAGCGAGAAGCUAAGAGCUCACCUCUCCACCACGAGUAUAAAGCAGAGAAUGUGAACUGGAAAUUGCUCAAGGCUUUUCAUCUCAAAGCCCACCUCCAGCGACACACUUCCUCCAGCAAGGCUGCACCACAGAAGCCUUCCCAGACAGCGCCACCUACUGGAGACAAAAAAUUAAUACACAUGCCUUUUGAUCGGGAAAAAAGCAUUUAUCCCACAAGGACACUUUGCAUAUUGCCUGUGACAAGCUAGUAUAUGGAUAUUUAUUACAGAAUGAUUUUCUUGUAGUAGCGAGAAAAUUGGUGGAAACAAACCCCCACCAAUAGAGGUGGGUAAUAUUCACGGUAAUGUAUCCAGUAAUGAACGCUGCAUAAAAGCCAAAUAGAAAGAGGAAGGUUUAUAAUCUGGGGCCUGAAAUAGCCUAGAUGUACUAUUAAGUGGAAAGGACAGAAGACUAACUACAUGUGCUCGUUGCUUAAAGCCUCAGUGUCUUGUCUUUUUGUUGGGACUAUUCCCAUCUGUCUUGUGGCUACUGUCCUUGCUGGGUACAUUCUGAGUCCUUAUGCCACUCCCUGUGUGCUUCUGGCCUAAAUAUGCGCUUGCUUCCACCGUGCACACCAGUGACUCUCUCCAGGAUGGUCACUGUCCUCCCAGGCUCCCUUGAUUCUACUACCUGCAGGGCUGGGCAGGGCCACCAUCCCCAGACAGACCCUUGCUUGAUGACAGGCCAGGAGAAGAGGAUGGAAACCCAGUAGCUCAGGCUGGGGUGUCGCCGUGGGACUUGCCCUCUAGGGCCACCCCAGGGAGCAAUGGAGCCCUGUUCUGCAGGACUGUGUCUUGUGUGGCCCCUCUCCCACUGGAUCUCCAUUCUCUUGCCUGUUUCCUUGGGCACAUAUCCUAAAGGAGUUGCUGCCUCACAAAUUCUGUUAUAAUUUCAAGAGAGAUCCAGUGUCUGCUUUCCGCAGCAUAGAGUCCAACAAACUCUUGGCCCAAUUAGUUCCAUGGAAGAAAGCAAGAGCCCCUCUCUAAAUACAAAUUCAGAGAAGAGGAGGAAAGAAAAUCAGCUAUGUCCUCUCCCAUCCCCAUUGCUCCAACCUGCAAGCAGGUUCUGAGUGCAGGCGUAAGGCAGGGCAGGGCGUAGUCAGUCUUACCAAUUGGGUGAGGGAACAGAGGCUCAGUGAGGAUCAGUUAGAAGUGGUGGAUGAUGAGGGCUGGAGAGAUGGCUCAGUAGUUAAGAGCACUGGCUGCUCUUCCAGAAAACCAGGGUUCAAUUCCCAGCACCCACAUGGCAGCUCAUAACUGCUUGUAACCAGUUUCAGGGGAUCUGACACCUCCACACAGACAUACAUGCAGGCAAAAUGCAAAUGCACAUGAAAAAAAUAAGUGGUGGAUGAUUCCAUUACCAGAGAGACCAGCUCCGUGUCAAACUCAUACUCACGCUCCAAGAACGAGGAACAAGGGAAUCUUCAGAGCAGGCUAAGGAAGGGAAGAUCGUUGACUUUUCUAAAAGAUUCUCCUUUGCAACCAUCUCUUCACAAGCACACAUCCCACUUUUGGAUGACUCCUGGGACCAGAAGUGGGCUCAGAGGAAAGCUGAGCCUCGGGAGCAGCAGCGCCCUGGGGGAAUGGGAAGGGACCUGCUUCUGGCUUUGCUUCUAUGCUGCUUUGGGAACGCCCACUUGGCUCAGCCUCCUCAGCUGCUGGGUUCUUCAUCGGGGUUAGAACUGUGGAUGGCUGGGGGGCACAGGUACGGAUCAUAGGAAAGACAGACUGCCUUUCAAUCCUGUUCUCUUCCACUUGCUGUAUGACCCCCCCCUCCCCAUUCCUAGCCCAGCAUUUGUGUCCUGGUGUCCAGCUGAUGAAAGAAAAGAAGAAAGAGUCUGUGAAGCCAGUCCCAGCUGAGGUCACUACCUGGAAACAACCCAUCUGUGAAAGGAAGAGCCUGAAGACCGAGGAAGUGUGGCCUUCCCAGCCUACCACACACCAGCUCUGGUACACCUCCACAAAGCCUGGAACCUCCUACAACAGGGAAACCUUCUGUAUUCUUGUCUGUGGAAACUAGUUUUCAACACUCUAGGAUGUAAUGCUUUCCCCCAGACCCAGGGCCAUCCACAGGGCCACCAAGAGGAUCCCUGCCUCUCUCCACAGGGCAGGUCACUUGGGCAGCCAUAGAGCCCCUGAAUUCCUGAACAUACCACAGAAAUCGGAAACAAAGUGGCUUACGUUCCUCAUAGAAGUUUUAGAAACACAGAAAAAUACACAGGGAGAUAGCCCGUCACUUAGAAAUACUCACCUUCUCCCCAACAUUUUAGAACAAAUUUCAAAUAUAGAGAACAGUUGAAGGAAUUGUACCAAGAAUUCCCAUUACAUCAUCUAGAUCCCGGAAGACUCUCGUUCUCCCUCUGUGGCCCCCAGCUUUGUCCAUCUCCGCAGGACUCUGCUCACCGUUGACUUGUUUUUCUCCUGUGCCCAUGGCUUGAUGCACAUGAAGCACAGUGACGAAAGAGUGCUUGGUACUCUGUCUCCUUACACACACGUCGGUUCCCUGUGUUGGGAGCCUGUGAACUCUCCAAUUAAAAAAAAAAGGUUUAUUUAUUUCUUACCUAUUUUAUGUGUAUGUGCUGUACAAUAUUAUUUUAAGGUGUGUUACUCUUGUUUAUGUUGCAUUUGUUUAACUCUGUGAAGCUGUGUUACUCUGCCUGUCUAAAACAUCUGAUGGUCUAAUAAAAAACUGAACAACCAAUGGCAAGGCAGGAGAAAGGAUAGGCGGGGCUGGCAGGCAGAGAGAAUAUACAGGAGAAAUCUUGGAGGAAAAGAAGAAGUAGCCAGAGAAGGAGGAGGACCCAGGGGCCAGCCAGCCAGCUACACAGCAAGCCAUGGAGUAAGAGUAAGAUUUACAGAAGUAAGAAAAUGUGAAAAGCCCAGAGGUAAACGAUAGAUGGGGCUAAUUUAAAGUUAAGGAAAGCUGGCAAGAAACAAGCUGAGCUAAGGCCAGGCAUUUAUAAAUAAGAAUAAGCCUCCAUGUGUGAUUUAUUUGGGAGCUGGGUGAUGGGCCCCCCAAAAGAGCAAAAACAAACAACAACAUGUAUGUACCUGAGUAUAUAUACAUGCAGAAGCCUGUGGAAGCCAUUGACUCUCUUGAAGUUACAGGUAGUUUAGCUAUGAACUGUCCCAUGUGGUGCUGGAAACUGAACCCAAGUCCUCUGCAAGAGCAAAUGCUCUUAACCACUGAGCCACCUCUCCAGCCCCAUUCUCUUCUCUUUUUUGAAAUACGUGAUAAAUCGUGAAUAGUUUCCUGGUUAAGGGUGGGACUUUGGGGCCACCUUCCCUUCUCAGUGCUGGGAUUUUGAGUGGUUUGAACUUGGGUAGGAUUUGUGCAUGCUGUCACAGUGUCUGGGAGUUAAUGUGUGUCAGUCCUGUUGUGUCUGGAUGAUGUUUCCUCGGAGUCCUCAUCAUCUCUGUCUCUUACAAUCUUUCUGUCGCCUCUUCCUCAUAGACCUGUAAGCCUUGAAUGGAGGGGUUUGGAGGGAAAAUCGGUUUCCUUUAAUGCAGUAUCACUAGGUAUAUGGACCACACUCCAGGGCAGGCCCCAUGCCCAGAAGGCUUUGCUAACACAAAGCUGACUAUGUUUUUGUAUUGUGUGCUUUUUGUUUUGUUUUGUACUUUUUUUGGUUGUUGUUUGUUUUGUUUUGACCUUUGGGAAGGUGUUUUUGUUUUUAUUUUGAGAGAGAAAAAGAACAUGAAGUUGGGAGGGUAGGGAGCUGGGAAGGAUCUGACAGGAGUUGAGGGGAGGGGAAUAAUGUGAUGAAAAUACAUUGUAUGUAACUUUUUAAAUAAGAAAAGAAAAAAGCAUAAUAAAUGGUGAACUGCAAUCACCUUUCUAUGCUGCAGAGUACUGGAUCUUACCCCUCCUGAGCAACUGUGCCUUGGCCUCUUUCUCUCUCUACCUGAGCAACUGGUACCCAGCCCCUUCCCUCUCUACCCUCCAUUGUAUCAUUUCCACAAAUUUCAGAAUAGAUUAAGACCAUCAACGUGUAUUUCUCCAAGUACUUCAACAUGAAUUUUUACUAAUUAGAGGGAAACAAUAUCUUUAAAAUCUUUUAUGAUGUAGAAGUUCAGAUGCACAAAUUGAAGAGACUGAGACAAUAAUGAACACCUUGGUUUAGGGUUAGGGUUAGAUGAACCCGU